This 67-nucleotide transfer RNA is filed under the name Diplodactylus fulleri (Lake Disappointment ground gecko). RNAcentral's name for it is "tRNA-Trp". The record is from RNAcentral. Lineage: Eukaryota; Metazoa; Chordata; Lepidosauria; Squamata; Diplodactylidae.
AGAUACUUAGGUUAAACAAAACCGGGGGCCUUCAAAGCCCCAAAUAGGACCGUCCUCCUAGUCUCUG